AGCUUUAUGAUAAACUAUAUAAAGUUCAUCCUGCCCAGUGAUUAAUUUUAAACGGCCGCAGUACCCUGACUGUGCAAAGGUAGCAUAAUAAUUUGCCUCUUAAUUAGAGGCUUGUAUGAAUGGACACAUGUGAAUAAUUCUGUCUCUAUCAUGAUAAUAGAAUUUGGUCUUAAGGUGAAGAAACCUUAAUAUUUUUAAAGGACAAAAAGACCCUAUUGAGCUUCAUUUUUAAAGGAAAAAAAAGGAAAAUUUUACUUAUUUUUAUCCCUAUAAAUUUUGUUGGGGCGACAAAGGAACAUAUAAAACUUCCUCAAAAUUUAAGAUAUACUAUUCAUUAUAAAGAUCCUUACUCAAGAUCAAAGGAAACAGCUACCAUAGGGAUAACAGGCUAAUCAUUUCAGAGAGUUCAAAUUGACGAGAUGGGUUGGCACCUCGAUGUUGGCUUAGGAUACCCAUUAAAUGCAGAAGUUUAAAAAGGUUGGUUUGUUCAACCAUUAAAAUCCU
RNAcentral lists this ribosomal RNA (504 nucleotides) under Goniada vorax. RNAcentral's name for it is "partial 16S ribosomal RNA". It matches the Rfam family "Bacterial large subunit ribosomal RNA", at positions 1830 to 2597 of the family's 2925-position model. Lineage: Eukaryota; Metazoa; Annelida; Polychaeta; Phyllodocida; Goniadidae. The record is from RNAcentral.